CAGAUCAGAAUGCUGCGGUGAAUGCGUUCCCGGGUCUUGUACACACCGCCCGUCACACCAUGGAAGUUGGGGGUGCCCAAAGUCGGUUAGAAAAUAAACUGCCUAAGGCAAAACCAAUGACUGGGGUGAAGUCGUAACAAGGUAAC
RNAcentral lists this ribosomal RNA (146 nucleotides) under uncultured bacterium. Its description in RNAcentral is "partial 16S ribosomal RNA". It matches the Rfam family "Bacterial small subunit ribosomal RNA", at positions 1345 to 1500 of the family's 1533-position model. The record is from RNAcentral.